CUACGGGUGGCACCAGUGGGGAAUAUUGCACAAUGAGCGAAAGCUUGAUGCAGCCAUACCGCGUGUGUGAAGAAGGCCCGAGGGUUGUAAAGCACUUUCAAUUGUGAGGAAGGUAGUGUAGCUAAUAUCUGCAUUGCUUGACGUUAACUUUAGAAGAAGCACCGGCUAAGUCUGUGCCAGCAGCCGCGGUAAUACAGAGGGUGCAAGCGUUAUUCGGAAUUACUGGGCGUAAAGCGCGCGUAGGCGGAUUGAUAAGUCAGUUGUGAAAGCCCUGGGCUCAACCUAGGAACUGCAUCUGAUACUGUUAGUCUAGAGUUUAAUAGAGGGAAGGGGAAUUCCAGGUGUAGCAGUGAAAUGCGUAGAUAUCUGGAGGAACAUCAGUGGCGAAGGCGCCUUCCUGGAUUAAAACUGACGCUGAGGUGCGAAAGCGUGGGUAGCGAACGGAUUAGAUACCCGAGUAGUC
This 463-nucleotide ribosomal RNA is filed under the name uncultured bacterium. RNAcentral describes it as "partial 16S ribosomal RNA". It matches the Rfam family "Bacterial small subunit ribosomal RNA", at positions 339 to 795 of the family's 1533-position model. The record is from RNAcentral.